GUAGUCGUCACAGGUAGCCUGUCAACAAUGCAUUCGUGCCGGAGUGGUAAGCGCGAUGACAUUGCUCCUGGAUUCAGCGGCGGACGGGUGAGUAAUGCCUAGGAAUCUGCCUGGUAGUGGGGGAUAACGUCCGGAAACGGGCGCUAAUACCGCAUACGUCCUGAGGGAGAAAGUGGGGGAUCUUCGGACCUCACGCUAUCAGAUGAGCCUAGGUCGGAUUAGCUAGUUGGUGGGGUAAAGGCCUACCAAGGCGACGAUCCGUAACUGGUCUGAGAGGAUGAUCAGUCACACUGGAACUGAGACACGGUCCAGACUCCUACGGGAGGCAGCAGUGGGGAAUAUUGGACAAUGGGCGAAAGCCUGAUCCAGCCAUGCCGCGUGUGUGAAGAAGGUCUUCGGAUUGUAAAGCACUUUAAGUUGGGAGGAAGGGCAGUAAGUUAAUACCUUGCUGUUUUGACGUUACCAACAGAAUAAGCACCGGCUAACUUCGUGCCAGCAGCCGCGGUAAUACGAAGGGUGCAAGCGUUAAUCGGAAUUACUGGGCGUAAAGCGCGCGUAGGUGGUUCAGCAAGUUGGAUGUGAAAUCCCCGGGCUCAACCUGGGAACUGCAUCCAAAACUACUGAGCUAGAGUACGGUAGAGGGUGGUGGAAUUUCCUGUGUAGCGGUGAAAUGCGUAGAUAUAGGAAGGAACACCAGUGGCGAGGCGACCACCUGGGACUGAUACUGACACUGAGGUGCGAAAGCGUGGGGAGCAAACAA
This 760-nucleotide ribosomal RNA is filed under the name Pseudomonas aeruginosa. Its description in RNAcentral is "bacterial SSU rRNA". It matches the Rfam family "Bacterial small subunit ribosomal RNA", at positions 24 to 775 of the family's 1533-position model. The record is from RNAcentral. Lineage: Bacteria; Pseudomonadati; Pseudomonadota; Gammaproteobacteria; Pseudomonadales; Pseudomonadaceae.